GAUUGCCUGCACCCCGUAUCUCAUUGAGUGGCUGAUGGUCGUUGCGUCCAGUUUGUUGGAACUUAUGCGCUCAACGGGAUCAUGUAGUGCCGACAUGCAUAGGACAUUGUUGUGCUGCGCGUUGAUUAUUCGUUAUAGUUGCCGCCGGAGUAGGACCACCGAGUUUGCAGCGAGUGUGUGACAAGAACAACAACAGCGUCAACAAACUGUUGUUAGAUUUUGACGAAGUGGCGGCUGCUGUCAACGUCUCGUUUCCCAAACAAAACAGAGGUGAUCAACGGUUCACGUCCUACAAGAUUUAUUUGUUCGCCAAUUGGAAUCAGUUGGAUGCGGAAGCUUCCUGUCAAGAUGCUCAUCUUUCAUCUCACACAGUUUAUGAUAUUAGCACGGAACAAGAUUUUCUCGUCAGUUUGCGAUAUGUCUACUCCGGGUUCUAUCACCUGACAGUUGUCCCUUGGAUCAACAAUACGAUCAGUUUCCAGUCAAUUAAUGCUUAUUUCGUUGUGCGAACUACGCGCCUUCCAAUGGCAGUUCAGAACUGGACUACGCAGUUCAUCAUCCAUCCCCUGCCAAUAUAUUCCAGUAUUGUCAUCCAGUUUCUUCCAGCUGAUCCGGAGUAUGAUUUCAGUCUGUAUGAGGUUUUGUUAUCGGAUUGUGACCCUACCUCGUUAACCAUUUCCGUUGGACAUACGUCAAUUUGCUAUGCAAAUCAAGAAUGCACUUUUGAGCAUUUAUCUCCCGGGAAAUACUGCGCUUUUGUGCGGCCUAUUGAUCAGCGGUGCAAUUAUGGCAACGUAUGGCAGGUCAAGGAUCACUGUAUUGUUCACAGUGAUGUGAUCGAGCUUGCUCAUUCUCCACCUUCAGCUAACUUGGAAUGGUUACCCACGGGAUCAGUUAUAAGAGACAGGGUUGGGAAUCACUCUUCGACGAUGUUGGCCGCCAUGGUGAUAAGCCUUGUCAUAGCUACGGGAUUCGUGGUAGCGUUAAUCUAUCAAAUCAAGAGAAAGCGAUCAGCUUUAAGGAGUACCCAUCACAAAUUUUCAGCCGCCCAUUUAACGGAAGUUACAACUAACCAACGGUAACACAAAAAAGAUCGUUUUACUGCUAUGGUUGCGUGACAGCUGCCAGCUGAUGCAAGCAGGUUGAUGAGUUGAAAGUUAAACUCAGAAGACAAAACGCUAAAAUUGUCGAUAUUUACGACGAUGAUUUGUACGAUGAGCUGUCCGUGGAUCCCAUUCACUGGUUAAAUGAAAUCAUGGCUACCCAAGAUUUACGCAUUGUUGUUAUUGGAUCACCCCGAUUGGAACAGCAUUUCGCCCAUGAGAGUCGAUCUGAAAAUGAAUUGGACAUGUUAGAAGGCCUGGUACUAUAUGCCAUAAAACAACUUUGGCUUAUGAGAGCAGCUAGCCAUUCUCUCUACUCGACUACUUUCUUCGUUCGGUUCUCCAAUAUUUCGUAUCACGGGCAGACCAACGAGUUGACACCUUUUCGCUGUUUCAUGUUACCUAUGCACUGUGAAGAACUUAUUUUUUACAUAAAUAAUUAGCAGCUUUAAAAGCUGACAAUUUA
This 1569-nucleotide small RNA is filed under the name Daphnia magna. RNAcentral describes it as "uncharacterized LOC116918928". Lineage: Eukaryota; Metazoa; Arthropoda; Branchiopoda; Diplostraca; Daphniidae. The record is from RNAcentral.